This 200-nucleotide unclassified non-coding RNA is filed under the name Humicola sp. Its description in RNAcentral is "partial internal transcribed spacer 2". The record is from RNAcentral. Lineage: Eukaryota; Fungi; Ascomycota; Sordariomycetes; Sordariales; Chaetomiaceae.
UUAAGUUCGGCGGGUCUUCCUACCUGAUCCGAGGUCAACCUUGGGUAAAUAAGGCUUUUUAACGGCCGGAACCCGCAGCACGCCCUGAGCGAGAUGUAUUACUACGCUCGGAGUGACUAGCGAGCCCGCCACUGGUUUUCAGGGCCUGCGGCAGCCGCAGGUCCCCAACACAAGCCGAGGGCUUGAGGGGUGAUAAUGAC